RNAcentral lists this transfer RNA (72 nucleotides) under Camelus bactrianus (Bactrian camel). It matches the Rfam family "tRNA". From Rfam's summary of the family: Transfer RNA (tRNA) molecules are approximately 80 nucleotides in length. Their secondary structure includes four short double-helical elements and three loops (D, anti-codon, and T loops). RNAcentral also lists the same sequence under 3 other names. Lineage: Eukaryota; Metazoa; Chordata; Mammalia; Artiodactyla; Camelidae. The record is from Rfam by way of RNAcentral.
GAGGGUAUAGCCCAGUGGGAGAGCACGUGCUUAGCAUGCACGAGGUGCUGGGUUCAAUCCCUAGUCCCUCCA